GGGCAUGUGGUGUAAUGGGAGCAUGCGGGUACUGAUUAAGGGGGCAUCCCGCGAUGUCGGUUCGACCCCGACCGUGUCCA
This is a non-coding RNA of Astrocystis sublimbata, 80 nucleotides long. NCBI's taxonomy places the organism in Eukaryota, Fungi, Ascomycota, Sordariomycetes, Xylariales, Xylariaceae. The record is from the annotation of a GenBank genome assembly.